RNAcentral lists this transfer RNA (82 nucleotides) under Rodentolepis nana. Its description in RNAcentral is "Hymenolepis nana tRNA". It matches the Rfam family "tRNA". From Rfam's summary of the family: Transfer RNA (tRNA) molecules are approximately 80 nucleotides in length. Their secondary structure includes four short double-helical elements and three loops (D, anti-codon, and T loops). The record is from Rfam by way of RNAcentral. Lineage: Eukaryota; Metazoa; Platyhelminthes; Cestoda; Cyclophyllidea; Hymenolepididae.
GAUGCGGUGGCCGAGUGGUUAACGCGAUGGACUGCUAAUCCAUUGGAAUUUCCCAGAGUGAGUUUGUAUCUCACCUGCGUCG